This 464-nucleotide ribosomal RNA is filed under the name Vreelandella stevensii. Its description in RNAcentral is "partial 16S ribosomal RNA". It matches the Rfam family "Bacterial small subunit ribosomal RNA", at positions 339 to 795 of the family's 1533-position model. The record is from RNAcentral. Lineage: Bacteria; Pseudomonadati; Pseudomonadota; Gammaproteobacteria; Oceanospirillales; Halomonadaceae.
CUACGGGAGGCUGCAGUGGGGAAUAUUGGACAAUGGGCGAAAGCCUGAUCCAGCCAUGCCGCGUGUGUGAAGAAGGCCUUCGGGUUGUAAAGCACUUUCAGUGGGGAAGAAAGCCUUGGGGCUAAUACCCUCGAGGAAGGACAUCACCCACAGAAGAAGCACCGGCUAACUCCGUGCCAGCAGCCGCGGUAAUACGGAGGGUGCGAGCGUUAAUCGGAAUUACUGGGCGUAAAGCGCGCGUAGGCGGUCUGAUAAGCCGGUUGUGAAAGCCCCGGGCUCAACCUGGGAACGGCAUCCGGAACUGUCAGGCUAGAGUGCAGGAGAGGAAGGUAGAAUUCCCGGUGUAGCGGUGAAAUGCGUAGAGAUCGGGAGGAAUACCAGUGGCGAAGGCGGCCUUCUGGACUGACACUGACGCUGAGGUGCGAAAGCGUGGGGAGCAAACAGGAUUAGAUACCCUUGUAGUC